GAUGAACGCUAGCGAUAGGCUUAACACAUGCAAGUCGAGGGGCAGCAUGGUCUUAGCUUGCUAAGGCUGAUGGCGACCGGCGCACGGGUGCGUAACGCGUAUGCAACUUGCCUCACAGAGGGGGAUAACCCGUCGAAAGACGGACUAAUACCGCGUACACUCUAUGUUGGGCAUCCAAUGUAGAGGAAAUGAAAUUCGCUGUGAGAUAGGCAUGCGUCCCAUUAGCUAGUUGGUGAGGUAACGGCUCACCAAGGCGACGAUGGGUAGGGGAACUGAGAGGUUGAACCCCCACACUGGUACUGAGACACGGACCAGACUCCUACGGGAGGCAGCAGUGAGGAAGAUUGGUCAAUGGGCGAGAGCCUGAACCAGCCAAGUCGCGUGAAGGAUGACUGUCUUAUGGAUUGUAAACUUCUUUUAUACGGGAAUAGCAAGAGUCACGUGUGGCUCCCUGCAUGUACCGUAUGAAUAAGCAUCGGCUAACUCCGUG
Molecule: ribosomal RNA, 490 nt
Filed under: uncultured bacterium
Lineage: Bacteria
Description: partial 16S ribosomal RNA
Rfam family: Bacterial small subunit ribosomal RNA
Source: RNAcentral